AGUGGGAUAGCUGGGUCAGAUGGUGGUUCCAUCCUCAGUUUUCCAAGAAAUCUCCAUACUGCUUUCCAUAUUGGCUGCACCAAUUUGCAGUCCCACCAGCAAU
RNAcentral lists this microRNA precursor (103 nucleotides) under Marmota monax (woodchuck). The record is from RNAcentral. Lineage: Eukaryota; Metazoa; Chordata; Mammalia; Rodentia; Sciuridae.